GUUGCAUCCUAAUGACAAGGUAGCGCUAACGUGCCUCUGCCACGUUAGAAAUUUAGAUGACUCUCAGCAUUAAAUUAAGAGAGGUGGCUGGAAGUGCACAGCUUUCAGGCCCCACAGUAGGCAGUUUUCAGUUGAUUAUUGAAGUUAUUAGGGACAGCUUGAUUGCAGCUACAGGUAGCAGCUUAUAAGGUUUCUGCUUUUGCUAUUUCUAGCGUUUUCCUGGCUAGUAUGUAUGGAGUGGAGAAAGAAAACUCAAAGCCACUACCCAGUGAAAUGAAGUCUAGUGAAAUACUCCUCCUGUGGCUUCUGGGAAGAAUCAGGAAGCAGCUUUUGAUGUCUAAAACACAGAAGAAAUAUAAAUAAUGCUGGGGAACAGUAGUAAAAUAUUGCAAGGGUCUUUCAUGAAACAGACGUCGUUACUUGCCAAAGCCUUCACAAUUAGAUGCAGUUUUAAUUUUGAAAGAUAUCUCCUUUUCAAUAUUCUUGAACAAGGUCAUGGAACAAAAGCCGAAUUUUGCGAGUCAAUUCAGAAGAUACAGGCUGUCCCCAAGUGCUGCAAGAUGAACCAGUAUAGAAGACAACUGACCUGGCUGAACAUGGAGCUUUUGCUGGCACUCAGGGAAAAACGAGAGUCUACUGCUUUUGGAAGACGGGGCAGGUAACACAAGAAGAGUACAGAGACCUUGUUAAGUCCUGCAGGGAGAAAAUGGGGCAAGCAAAAGCCCAGGUAGAACUCAAUUUGGCCACUGUUAUAAUGGAUAACAAAAAAUGUUUUUACAAAUACAUUAACAACAAAAAGAGAACCAAAGAGAAUCUCCAUCCUCUAUUGGGCCUGAGGGGAACAUUAUCACUGAGGCUGAGGAAAAGGCUGAGGUACUAAAUGAUUUCUUUGCCGCAGUCUCUAACAAUCAGACCAGUUAUUCCGCAGGUAUUCAGCCCUCUGAGCUGGAUGGCAGGGACACUGAGUGCAACAAAUCCCCCAUAGUCAAGGAGGAAGCAGUUUAUGACCUGCUGCUCCACCUGGACACUCACAAGUCACUGGGUCCAGACGGGAUCCACCCAAGAGUACUGAGGAAGCUGGCAGAGGAGCUCACCAAGCCACUCUCCAUCAUUUACCAGCAGUGCUGGAUAACAGGGGAGGUCCUAGAUGGCUGGAGGCUUGCUGAUGUGACACCCAUCUACCAGAAGGGCCAGGAGGAGGAUCCAGGGUUGUGGUGAAUGGAGCUAAAUCCAGUUGGUGGCCAGUCACAAGUGGGGUUCCUCAGGGCUCAGUGUUAGGGACAGUCUUGUUUAAUAUCUUUAUCAGUGAUCUGGAUGAGGUGAUCAAGUGCACCCUCAGGAAGUUUGUAGAUGACACCAAGUUGUGUGGGAGAGUUGAUCUGCUUGAGGGUAGGAAGGCUCUGCAGAGGGACCUGAACAGGCUGCAUUGAUGGGCCGAGGCCAAUUGAAUGAGGUUGAGCAAGGCCAAGUGCUGGGUCCUGCACAUGGGUCACAACAACCCCAUGCAACUCUACAGGCUUGGGGAAGAGUGGCUGGAGAGCUGCCUGGGAGAAAGGACCCAGCGCGUUCUGGUUGACAGUCAGCUGAACAUGAGCCGGCAGUGUGCCCAGGUGGGCAAGAAGGCCAACAGCAUCCUGGCUUUUAUCAGAGAUAGUGUGGUCAGCAGAAGUUGGAAAGUGAUCGUGCCCCUGUACUCAAUGCUGAUGUGGCCACAUCUUGAAUACUGUGUUCAGUUUUGGGCCCCCUAGUAUAAGAAGGACAUCAAGUUGCUGGAAUGUGUCCAGAGAAGGGCAAUGAAGCUGAUGAAGGGUCUAGAGCACAAGUCUUAUGAGGAGCAGCUGAGGGAAUUGGGGUUGUUUAGUCUGGAGAAGAGGAGGCUGAGGGGAGACCUUACUGCUCUCUACAACUACCUGACAGGAGGUUGUAGUGAGGUGGGUGUUGGUCUCUUCUCCCAAGUAACUAGUGAUAAGAUGAGAGGAAAUGUCUUCAUUCUGCAUCAGGGGAGGUUUAGAUUGGGUAUUAGGAAAAAUUUCUUCAGUGAAAGAGUGGUCAGACAUCAGAAUAGGCUGCCCAGAGAGGUGGUAGAGUCACCAUCCCUGGAAGUAUUUUAAAAGGUGUGUAGAUGUGGCACUUCAGGGCAUGGUUUAGGAGACAUGGUAGUGCUGCAUUGACGGUUGGACUUGAUGAUCCUAGAGGUCUUUUCCAACGUUAAUGAUUCUAUGGUUUUAAUUUUAAGAGAUGAUAUUCUACCCAACUAUAGUCUGACUGAUCACCUGUAACCAGUGUCCACCAGCACAAAGUUACUUCCUGAGUCCUUAAUUUUCUCUACUUGCCCUGGAAGAUCUCAGUACUAGCUCAGGACCAGGGUUUACACCACUGAACAUAAUAAUUGCCUUUACUAAUCCAGAGCUCGUAAGGAAUAACAUCAUAGUCUUGUUUAAUAUUAUGGACUAAAAGCAACCUCUUUUGCUUUUAUUGAAAAUGUUCAAUAAUUUCUCCAGGUAUGUAUGUAAUUUGAGACAAUUCUUUAUUUAUUUGCUUUUUUCUUUCUUUUCUCUUUGGUCAUUAUAGAAGCUGUGUGAUCCAGGAAAAAGGGUAUUAAUUAAACUCUUCAUAGGAACAUAAACUUGCAGAAAAGCAAGCUUGCUCUCCUGGCAUAUCUCUGAACUUUUUCAAGUUUGACAUUCACAUUUAAUCAUAGCCAUCAAAUGAAUUAAAUGCUAUUGUGUUUCUUCUUAUAAUGGUUUUUCUUUAUUAUUUUUAAAAUACCAGGCAAAGCAGAUUCUACAUUGUUUGCUCUAACAUAUUUUUAGAGAAAUUAUAUCGAACAUCAAAAGUAUGAGAAGUAUACGUCCAUCUCCUUAUUAGAUUGUUACUCAAGAAGCAGCUCAAUAUUCUUUAAAAAGGUGAACAAAUCCAGCUCAUUAGCAUUUUGAUGAAAUUAGGAGGAAAGGUCUAGGAACCUGAUUGUAUUCUGAUGCAAAAUAACAAUAGCAAAGAAGCAAAAAUGUAUUAGAAGGAGAAUUGGAACAGAUUCAGAAACUCAAAAGUCGCAGUGGAAAGGAUAUUCACUUCAUUGUGCAUGAUGUACCAAACAUAUUUUUGAUAAACUCUU
This is a non-coding RNA of Phalacrocorax carbo (great cormorant), 3115 nucleotides long. NCBI's taxonomy places the organism in Eukaryota, Metazoa, Chordata, Aves, Suliformes, Phalacrocoracidae. The record is from RefSeq and is a predicted model, not a curated record.